GACGAACGCUGGCGGCGUGCUUAACACAUGCAAGUCGAACGGAAAGGCCCUGCUUUUGUGGGGUGCUCGAGUGGCGAACGGGUGAGUAACACGUGAGUAACCUGCCCUUGACUUUGGGAUAACUUCAGGAAACUGGGGCUAAUACCGGAUAGGAUCUCCUGCUGCAUGGUGGUGGUUGGUAAGUUUCGGCGGUUGGGGAUGGACUCGCGGCUUAUCAGCUUGUUGGUGGGGUAGUGGCUUACCAAGGCUUUGACGGGUAGCCGGCCUGAGAGGGUGACAGGCAACAUUGGGACUGAGAUACGGCCCAGACUCCUACGGGAGGCAGCAGUGGGGAAUAUUGCACAAUGGGCGGAAGCCUGAUGCAGCAACGCAGCGUGCGGGAUGACGGCCUUCGGGUUGUAAACCGCUUUCGCCUGUGACGAAGAGUGAGUGACGGUAAUGGGUAAAGAAGCACCGGCUAACUACGUG
This 468-nucleotide ribosomal RNA is filed under the name uncultured bacterium. RNAcentral describes it as "partial 16S ribosomal RNA". It matches the Rfam family "Bacterial small subunit ribosomal RNA", at positions 28 to 507 of the family's 1533-position model. The record is from RNAcentral.